This 253-nucleotide ribosomal RNA is filed under the name uncultured bacterium. RNAcentral's name for it is "partial 16S ribosomal RNA". It matches the Rfam family "Bacterial small subunit ribosomal RNA", at positions 524 to 776 of the family's 1533-position model. The record is from RNAcentral.
UACAGAGGUCCCAAGCGUUGUUCGGAUUCAUUGGGCGUAAAGGGUGCGUAGGCGGCGCGGUAAGUCGGGUGUGAAAUCUCGGGGCUUAACUCCGAAACUGCAUUCGAUACUGCCGUGCUUGAGGACUGGAGAGGAGACUGGAAUUUACGGUGUAGCGGUGGAAUGCGCAGAUAUCAGGAGGAACACCGGUGGCGAAGGCGGGUCUCUGGGCAGUAACUGACGCUGAGGAGCGAAAGCGUGGGGAGCGAACAGG